RNAcentral lists this ribosomal RNA (450 nucleotides) under uncultured Glomeromycotina. RNAcentral describes it as "SSU rRNA". It matches the Rfam family "Eukaryotic small subunit ribosomal RNA", at positions 569 to 1025 of the family's 1831-position model. Lineage: Eukaryota; Fungi; Glomeromycota. The record is from RNAcentral.
AGCAGCCGCGGUAAUUCCAGCUCCAAUAGCGUAUAUUAAAGUUGUUGCAGUUAAAAAGCUCGUAGUUGAAUUUCGGGAUUAGUACGUUGGUCGUGCCUUUGGUACGUACUGGUGUUACUGAUUCCUACCUUCUGACGAACCAUCAUGUCAUUAAUUUGGUGUGGUGGGGAAUCAGGACUGUUACUUUGAAAAAUUAGAGUGUUUAAAGCAGGCUCGCGCUUGAAUACAUUAGCAUGGAAUAAUGAAAUAGGACGUUGAUCCUAUUUUGUUGGUUUCUAGGAUUGACGUAAUGAUUAAUAGGGAUAGUUGGGGGCAUUAGUAUUCAAUUGUCAGAGGUGAAAUUCUUGGAUUUAUUGAAGACUAACUACUGCGAAAGCAUUUGCCAAGGAUGUUUUCAUUAAUCAAGAACGAAAGUUAGGGGAUCGAAGACGAUCAGAUACCGUCGUAGUC